CUACGGGUGGCAGCAGGCGCGGAACCUUUACAAUGCACGAAAGUGUGAUAAGGGGAUCCCAAGUGCCUUGCUUUUAGCAAGGCUUUUGCCAUAUGUAAAAAGUAUGGAGAAUAAGUGGUGGGCAAGACUUGUGCCAGCCGCCGCGGUAACACCAGCGCCACAAGUGGCAACCGCUUUUAUUGGGCCUAAAGCGUCCGUAGCCGGUUUAGUAAAUUUCCUGUGAAAUCGUUAGGCUUAACCUAACGGCAUGCAGGAAAGACUACUAAACUAGAGACCGGGAGGCGUCAGAGGUAUUCCGGAGGGAGCGGUAAAAUGCUAUAAUCUCCGGAGGACCACCAGUGGCGAAGGCGUCUGACGAGAACGGAUCCGACGGUGAGGGACGAAAGCUAGGGGAGCAAACCGGAUUAGAUACCCCCGUAGUC
RNAcentral lists this ribosomal RNA (422 nucleotides) under uncultured archaeon. Its description in RNAcentral is "partial 16S ribosomal RNA". It matches the Rfam family "Archaeal small subunit ribosomal RNA", at positions 323 to 746 of the family's 1478-position model. The record is from RNAcentral.